UUGUUUUGUUGCUGAGUUGCCAUCGUCACUCUGGACCCAUAGCUACUCCAUCCCGAGUAGCCAUGGGCUUACCAUAGAAGGAACAAACUCUUAAUCUUAGAACUGCUUUAGGCAGUGGGCGUGAUGGUUAAAAACUCGGCCUUUGGCGUCGACCUCAGACGGAGAUCUACCAAUUAGGAAAUUAGCUGUGAUUUAGAAAAUUUAAUAUUUCGAUGCCAUACUUUCCUAAUCUGCAAAAUUUUUGUAAAUACCUGUGACCUAGUGUCGUGAGCGCUUAGCAACACCUGACACCCACUAAGCUCUCAGCCAGUGGUUCUGAAAGUGGUUCUAGACCAGCAACAACAGCAGUAGCAGCAGCACCUGUGAACUUGUUAGAAAUGCAAAGUUUCAGGCCCAUUCCAGUUCUACUGAAUCUGAAACUCGAAGGGAACAGCAACCUAUGUUUUAAUAAACCCCAAGGACCUGGGACCUGUACUGUCUGCGGUUACCUUAGUAUUCCCCUUGAAGACUUAAAAAACAACAAAGUUUGGGCUGCAAGAAUGAUCUAUAUCUGGUCAUUUCCCCCUAGGAAAACAUCGUAGGUCAAAAAAUUAAGCAUUUGGGUUUAAAGCAAAAAUGUAAAAGAAAAAGGGUAAGUCUGUGAUAUGAAGUCAAAAAAACUGGUCCUGGUCAUUUUAUUUUUACACAAUAUCAGUUUCUUCAUAUGUAAAUUAGGAAUACUUGUCCCAUCUUUACCAAAUGCUGUUCUGAUAAUCAAGUGAAAAGUACUUUCAAGUAGUCAAAAACAUGAAAAUUGCUACACAAAUCCUGUGUUAUAGCUGAUUUUCACCAUAGAAGCUGAUCACCUUCUUAAAAAUUUAGAAUUACCAGCUGUUGUGCUGGAAGGUCUAGUACCUUUUCGUUCAGGCCCAAAACCCUAAGGUUUAUAUUGUUUUACAGAUUACUGCAAAGCUAUCAAUUUCUUCUGAACCUAAGAAAUGACACACUAUAUCUAUUCCCAGUAAUACAGAAAGCUGUAAGUAGAAUUAUCAGGGCCCAGGCUAUAGAACUUGAACUAUACACUCCCGCUUAACACAAUGGGCUUUUUUUUUUCCUAGUCUCAAGUCAACAUCAAAGCAGCCUAAAAAAAUAAUUUGACCAACUAUCCUGCUGCAUUACAACUAUUAUUCAUCUGCUACGUUUUAAUAUGCAAUAGCAGCAUGCAACAAUACCACCAGCUUUUGGCUAAUGACUUAGCAUGAGAAUAUAGUCAGUUCUUCAGAUUGCUGUUCCUCAGAGAUACUUCCUAGGAAACUUUUUUAAAAAUCACCAUAGCAAAGAGUUGUAGAGAAACUACCUAAGGGUUAACACUUUCACUGCAGUAUGAGUUAGUGAAGAUUGUGGUCAUGUGGUCAUUGGUUUUAACAGAAAAUAAGACAAUCUAGAAUAAAAGCCAUAGAAAGAAAUUUUUCAUGAGUUUGACAGAAAGAGUCUUUAGAAAAAGUUUGAAAAAAAUGAGAAAAAUACAUUAAUUUUGUUAAAUUUUUUUAUAUUAAAAAGUGGCAUGAACUUUUUAUGUAGAACAAAAAUCUUGGGAAGGCAAAAUUGGAUAAAACCAUUAAAACAGAAAUAGAGUGCUUCAAAUGAAUCCCAUCACCUUGUGAUGUCCCUUAUUAACAGUCUCUAAACCAAUACCAGAUACCAGAACAGUCCAUCCUAAAGAACGAGCAGCAGUCCAGGGCCUCCACGCUACUUCAUGCAAUAACUGUUUAAAUUAAGCCAGCAGGACCUGUUUCCUUUGUAUAAGCUACAACUUCUGAAGCAUUACAGUUCCUCUAGCACGGUGCUCAAUCACAGCACUUGGAGCACCUCUCUGCAUAAAGGCAAACAAAACAUUGCCUAAGGACCCUGCAAUGCCACCCUUGGAGGCUUACAAA
Molecule: long non-coding RNA, 1916 nt
Filed under: Homo sapiens (human)
Lineage: Eukaryota; Metazoa; Chordata; Mammalia; Primates; Hominidae
Description: HSALNT0381022
Source: RNAcentral